ACCGUCGUCAGCUUACCCUGUGAAGGCCCAAUAGUAAGCAAGAUUGGCACUGCCCAAAACGCCAGGUCGAGGUGUAGCGUAUGGAAGGGGAAGCAAUGGGCUACAUUCACUAAUAAUAGUGAAUACGAAUAGUGCACUGAAACGUGCUCAUUGAAGGAGGAUUUAGCAGUAAGCAGGAAAUAGAGUGUUCUGCUGAAACCGGCCCUGAAGCGCGCACAUACCGCCCGUCACUCUCCCCAAAUUCCACUAAUACAAAUGCCUAAGUCAUAAAAAAACACGAAGGGGAGGCAAGUCGUAACAUGGUAAGCGUACCGGAAGGUGCGCUUGGAUAAG
Molecule: ribosomal RNA, 333 nt
Filed under: Pomadasys kaakan (javelin grunt)
Lineage: Eukaryota; Metazoa; Chordata; Actinopteri; Lutjaniformes; Haemulidae
Description: partial 12S ribosomal RNA
Rfam family: Bacterial small subunit ribosomal RNA
Source: RNAcentral